RNAcentral lists this ribosomal RNA (801 nucleotides) under Bufo bufo (common toad). Its description in RNAcentral is "partial 16S ribosomal RNA". The stretch from base 165 to 801 matches the Rfam family "Bacterial large subunit ribosomal RNA", at positions 568 to 1674 of the family's 2925-position model. Lineage: Eukaryota; Metazoa; Chordata; Amphibia; Anura; Bufonidae. The record is from RNAcentral.
CUAAAAACCUAGCCCAACAAACAUGAAUUUUACUAAAUUAACUAAACCCUCUUAACAAACCAUUUUAACAUUCUAGUAAAGGAGAUUGAAAAAACUUAUUUGGAGCUAUAAAAACAGUACCGCAAGGGAACGGUGAAAUAUUAUGAAAAACUUCAAGCAGCAAAAAGUAAAGAUUACCUCUUGUACCUUUCGCAUCAUGGUUUAACUAGUCUAACCAAGCAAAACGUAUUUAAGUUUGACUUCCCGAAACUAAGUGAGCUACUUCAGGGCAGCUAGAAGAGCAAACCCGUCUCUGUAGCAAAAGAGUGGGACGACCCUCAAGUAGUGGUGACAGACCUAACGAACUUAGUGAUAGCUGGUUGCUCAAGAAACGGAUUUAAGUCCAACCUGAAAGUUUUAUAACCUAAGUUCAUCAAAACAAUCACCUAGCUUUCAGCGUAAUUCAAAUAAGGUACAGCCUAUUUGAAACAGGAUACAACCUAGCCUAAUGGAUAAGAUCAGCCUAACAUACAAUCAAGUGGGCCUAAAAGCAGCCACCUUUAAUACAGCGUCAAAGCUAAAUUGUAACCGAGCCCAAUUACUUAACCCAUAUCUUAAUCCCCUGCCAAUACUGAGUAAUUCUAUAAUAUUAUAGAAAUUUUUAUGUUAAAACUAGUAACAAGAAGAAGAUUCUUCUCUUAAAUGUACGUAUAAAUCAGAAAAGACAAGCUACUGAUACUUAACACCUCUGAGCAUAAAGUAGUAACUAACCAAGAAAACUCUACUUUUACUGGUGUUAAUCUAACACAAGAACAUUCUAAG